Molecule: ribosomal RNA, 450 nt
Filed under: uncultured bacterium
Lineage: Bacteria
Description: partial 16S ribosomal RNA
Rfam family: Bacterial small subunit ribosomal RNA
Source: RNAcentral
GUGAGGAAUCUUCCGCAAUGGACGAAAGUCUGACGGAGCAACGCCGCGUGAGUGAAGAAGGUUUUCGGAUCGUAAAGCUCUUUCGUUAGGGACGAACGUGCUCUUUGUGAAUAAUGAGGAGUAAUGACGGUACCUAAAUAAGAAGCCACGGCUAACUACGUGCCAGCAGCCGCGGUAAUACGUAGGUGGCAAGCGUUGUCCGGAAUUAUUGGGCGUAAAGCGCGCGCAGGCGGGAUAUCAAGUCUGUCUUAAAAGUGCGAGGCUCAACCUCGUGAGGGGACAGAAACUGGUAUUCUUGAGUGUCGGAGAGGAAAGUGGAAUUCCAAGUGUAGCGGUGAAAUGCGUAGAGAUUUGGAAGAACACCAGUGGCGAAGGCGACUUUCUGGACGAUGUCUGACGCUGAGGCGCGAAAGCUAGGGGAGCGAACGGGAUUAGAUACCCGUGUAGUCC